AGGAUGUUAACUUAAUGUAAAGUGUUGAAUUUUUAAUUCAAAAAUGUUUUUUCACAUCUUGG
Molecule: transfer RNA, 62 nt
Filed under: Mecistocirrus digitatus
Lineage: Eukaryota; Metazoa; Nematoda; Chromadorea; Rhabditida; Trichostrongylidae
Description: tRNA-Lys
Rfam family: tRNA
About the family: Transfer RNA (tRNA) molecules are approximately 80 nucleotides in length.
Source: RNAcentral